Molecule: ribosomal RNA, 239 nt
Filed under: uncultured bacterium
Lineage: Bacteria
Description: partial 16S ribosomal RNA
Rfam family: Bacterial small subunit ribosomal RNA
Source: RNAcentral
CGUGAGCAAUCUGCCUUGGAGUGGGGAAUAACGGUUGGAAACAGCCGCUAAUACCGCAUGAUACAGCUAUCCCGCAUGGGGUUGGCUGUCAAAGAUUUAUCGCUCUGAGAUGAGCUCGCGUCUGAUUAGCUUGUUGGCGGGGUAACGGCCCACCAAGGCGACGAUCAGUAGCCGGACUGAGAGGGCGACCGGCCACAUUGGGACUGAGACACGGCCCAGACUCCUACGGGAGGCAGCAG